UACGUAGGGUGCAAGCGUUGUCCGGAAUUAUUGGGCGUAAAGAGCUCGUAGGCGGUUUGUCGCGUCGGCCGUGAAAACUUGGGGCUUAACCCCGAGCCUGCGGUCGAUACGGGCAGACUUGAGUUCGGCAGGGGAGACUGGAAUUCCUGGUGUAGCGGUGAAAUGCGCAGAUAUCAGGAGGAACACCGGUGGCGAAGGCAAUUCACUGGCGCAUAUCUGACACUGAAACACGAAAGCGUGGGUAGCGAACGGG
Molecule: ribosomal RNA, 253 nt
Filed under: uncultured bacterium
Lineage: Bacteria
Description: partial 16S ribosomal RNA
Rfam family: Bacterial small subunit ribosomal RNA
Source: RNAcentral